This 253-nucleotide ribosomal RNA is filed under the name uncultured bacterium. Its description in RNAcentral is "partial 16S ribosomal RNA". It matches the Rfam family "Bacterial small subunit ribosomal RNA", at positions 524 to 776 of the family's 1533-position model. The record is from RNAcentral.
UACGGAGGGUGCAAGCGUUAAUCGGAAUUACUGGGCGUAAAGCGCACGUAGGCGGUUAGGUAAGUCAGAUGUGAAAGCCCCGGGCUCAACCUGGGAACUGCAUUUGAUACUGCUUGACUAGAGUAUGGUAGAGGCAAGUGGAAUUCCAGGUGUAGCGGUGAAAUGCGUAGAUAUCUGGAGGAACAUCAGUGGCGAAGGCGACUUGCUGGACCAAUACUGACGCUGAGGUGCGAAAGCGUGGGGAGCAAACAGG